GAGACACUGAGCCACUUGAAGCAGUGCUGAUACAGAGCACUAAGUCAGGCCCAGAUCCCAAGCACUGAUGUAAAACCAAAAGACAGUGGCAGAAGUUGAGAGCUGUGUCAUGCAUCCUUUUUCACCCAAUGGUUUUGAAACACGAUUAUACACUGG
Molecule: long non-coding RNA, 156 nt
Filed under: Chinchilla lanigera (long-tailed chinchilla)
Lineage: Eukaryota; Metazoa; Chordata; Mammalia; Rodentia; Chinchillidae
Description: lncRNA (ENSCLAG00000027117.1)
Source: RNAcentral